GUGCAGCAGCCGCGGUAAUACGUAGGUGGCAAGCGUUGUCCGGAUUUAUUGGGCGUAAAGCGAGUGCAGGCGGUUUCUUAAGUCUGAUGUGAAAGCCCCCGGCUCAACCGGGGAGGGUCAUUGGAAACUGGGAGACUUGAGUGCAGAAGAGGAGAGUGGAAUUCCAUGUGUAGCGGUGAAAUGCGUAGAUAUAUGGAGGAACACCAGUGGCGAAGGCGGCUCUCUGGUCUGUAACUGACGCUGAGGCUCGAAAGCGUGGGGAGCAAACAGGAUUAGAUACCCGCGUAGUCC
This 291-nucleotide ribosomal RNA is filed under the name uncultured prokaryote. Its description in RNAcentral is "partial 16S ribosomal RNA". It matches the Rfam family "Bacterial small subunit ribosomal RNA", at positions 505 to 796 of the family's 1533-position model. The record is from RNAcentral.